Molecule: long non-coding RNA, 1306 nt
Organism: Astatotilapia calliptera (eastern happy)
Lineage: Eukaryota; Metazoa; Chordata; Actinopteri; Cichliformes; Cichlidae
Source: Ensembl
AUUAUUGUUUUAUUUGAUAUAUACGAUAUUUUGUAUAUGAUAUAUAUCUUAAAUAAAGCGCCAAAUCACAAGUUUCUUCCCUGUUUGUACUGUAAGGUAAAAACAAUACAGUACUACAGAGAAGCCCAACAAUCAAAUGAUCCCCCUUUGAGCAAGCACAAGGCGACAGUGGGGAAGAAAAACUCCCUUCUGACAGGAAGAAACUUCCAACGGAACCAGGCUCAGAAAGGGGCAGCCAUCCGCUGCGACUGGUUGGGGGUGAUGGAAAUGGAUUUGGUGCUAAAAUUCUGCUUCAAGAUUUUAAAAGAAGCAAGGCAGCAGGAAAAAGGCAAAAAUGUCAUGUAAUCAUUGCUGCCCUUUAAAGCAGCACGUAAAGGGUUUUGAAAAAGCUUUUAACACUGCUGAAAAAAACCUGGAAAUUUUGGACUUUUCUGGAGGACUGGGGAGCCCGAAUUUCAAAUGACUUAUCACAGCCUUGUCAAAAGAUGAAUCAUUUGACAUCGCAGCAUUUAAGACAUUGUCUGAGGAGCCAAACUCCUUGAUGAGGGAUUUGGCCAUUUUCUUAAUGAACUGAUUCUUGUCAUUUAUCAGAUUUAUGGCGGACUCUGUGCUGCUGAGUUCAGGCUGUAUCAACUCUGUCAGAUGGUUGAUGAGAGUGUGUAUUUCUCUUGAAGUACUUGUGGUCUUAGCCACAGAUUGCAUGGUCUUAGACUUACAUUUUACAAGAAGUGUCUUAAAGAGCAAAAAGGAGAGGUCAGUGGACAUUUCCUUAAAAUCAGAAGAUGACCUUGACACAACACCCAUCUCUAAUACUUCAAAGGAAUCUUUAAGAGAGCCUGAAAUGCUCGCAGAGCAUUUUUCUGGAGAAACGCUCUUAGGUUCUGCCAUUGGAGGUGAGUCGAUGGAUGCCAGAGACCAUUUUUCUGGAGAAACGCUCUUAGGUUCUGCCAUUGGAGGUGAGUCGAUGGAUACCAGAGAGCAUUUUUCUGGAAAAACGCUCUUAGGUUCUGCCAUUGGAGGUGAGUCGAUGGAUGCCAGAGAGCAUUUUUCUUUGUUCUUUGUUGAAUCCAUUUCACCAAAUAUCUCAUGGAUGACGUCAACUACAGCCUGUUCUACAGGGUUUAGAGCUCGGACACUUUUUGUUUCAGCAGUUAUUUCACCUUCUUUUGCUACACCUGAUCCUUCUGGAAGCUCAAUUUCUUCCCCCUCCUGAUCUGAAUUUUCAUACAUUGCAGUCACAAAUGUUAUUUUCUUGGUUUGUGUUAAAAGCGUGAGACGUUUCCUGAGAGAGCGCCGACUGUUCAAC